UACAGAGGUCCCAAGCGUUGUUCGGAUUCACUGGGCGUAGAGGGUGCGUAGGUGGCGAGGUAAGUUUGAUGUGAAAUCUCCGGGCUUAACCCGGAAAUGGCAUUGAAUACUCUCUCGCUCGAGGGUUGGAGGGGGGACUGGAAUUCUCGGUGUAGCAGUGAAAUGCGUAGAUAUCGAGAGGAACACCAGUGGCGAAGGCGAGUCCCUGGACAACUCCUGACACUGAGGCGCGAAAGCUAGGGGAGCGAACAGG
This 253-nucleotide ribosomal RNA is filed under the name uncultured bacterium. RNAcentral's name for it is "partial 16S ribosomal RNA". It matches the Rfam family "Bacterial small subunit ribosomal RNA", at positions 524 to 776 of the family's 1533-position model. The record is from RNAcentral.